GCAAAGACUAUAUUACCCAGAAACAUGAGUGUAAUUGCCAUAUCCUUAGUUAGGCAUCGUUCGUUUUCAGCGGAUCAGCUCAUUCCGGGCCUUAUUCCAGGUGGAACCAAUGGACCUGGUUUGGAAUUUGGUACAGCCCAUUAAAAGUGUUCGUUUCGGCCCGAACUGGAAUCGAAACUGGCCCGGAUUAAAAUUUUCCUUCACGCCACGGCCUGGAACCAACCCUUGUGUCGUACCCUCCGGAUCGAAUCCUGGACGACGCGACCGGCACGGCGGCGGCGCACAGCCCCGACGACGACCCUCCCCGCUGCCUUCUCCCCGAUCUCUACGACACCAAUUAUAGAUGGGGAAGGUGAACCUCCUCCCUCUUGGGAUCCGGCACCAACUCCAAAAGUUCUACACUCAGAUGAGACAGGCGAGGUUAAGGUUCGACGACUCCUCGAGGGACAUGCCAAGAACUAUCAAGUUACAUUGUUGUUUAUUUUCCCUGUCUUAUUGGGAAGCAAAGUAUUGGAAAAAAACUGCAUUUAGUUGAUGAUCCACUAGAAGUUUAGGCUAUGUCCCACUCGAGUCUUUAUACUGUGGUGUUGUCUCUUGUUAUGCAAUGUUCCCUGCAUGAUUUUUGUUUUUGGCAUGUCUACAACUGGUUCAGCUGUUCGGCUGCUCAUUAUGGUUGCAGUCAACCAUAAGAUUGUUGUCUUAGCACCUUUGAUAUGUCGUAGCAAAAACUGCUAGUUCACUCUUUGAUAUGUCUAGAUUGAACCAGUCCACUCUUUAAUAUGUCUUAGCAUUGAACUUGUUUUAGAUUUAACAAAUAUUCUUGUCACGGUGCCAGCAGUAUAUUAAAUCCGCAUUGUGCAAUAUAUUGUCAAACAAGACUUGGGUUGCUAGCUUUAACUGCAUGGAAUGGAAUUAGUCCAGGCUGAAACAAACAGGCUUUAGUGGCCAUCAGGUUUUAUUCCAGAGCCGGAUCUAUAACAGACCAGGUUUCAGUGAACCAGCCGGAUCCACUCUAUUUGGACCAGGAAUAAAUACAUGCCUGUUUUCGAACCAAAGCAAACGAACGCGGCCUUAAGAGUAUAGCACCUAGUAGAAGAAUUUGAAGCGGAAGUGGAAGAGGAGCCUACUCCCACAUCUGAAACUUCACCAAUUGAAAUUGUCUCUGAAGGUCCUCCAGAAGGUGCCCUAGUAGGGUUUGCUGCUAACUGCAACAUCAUAGAAGAAGAGCCUGACUCUCCUCCUCAUCAAGGCAAGCCCCGGUGCAUUUGCCACUUCCUUGCUGUUUUAAAGCUUUUGUUACUUAUAUGCUGCAUUAGGUGGUAGGAGUUGGAUGAUUAAACCUUUGUUGCAUAACUUCCAUGAGCUAUUGAUUAUCAUCCUUGAUACCUGAUUUGAAAAGCUAGAUAUGCUUAGUAUGCUUAUAGACAAGGAACAAAAUGUUUUGAUAUAUGAAUCAUGUUUUUACAAAGAAAAAGUGACUAGAGUGAUGAAGGUAUCAAAGGCCUUGAUGACUUCAUCAUUUCAGUAGGGUACCUCUGACAGGUACCAAGUUUUCAGAAAUAUUUUAAUGUGAAACCAAAUGUUGAGCAGGAAAGGUCGCCUGUCUGUGUCGCUUAAGGAUCGUAUGAUUGUUGGCUUGCUGAUCUAGCACCCUUUAACUGGCCACAUGUCUCAUCAUGGGUAAGCUUAGCCUUGGCUGGACCAAUACCAGAAAGGUCGGCCUGCAAUGGGAGUGGAGAGAUGGCGAGAGUAUCGUGUAUCCACCUGACAAGAGGCUGGAUGGUGGGGUACUGAGCUCUCGGUUGGCGGGGACCCGUUCUGGUCUUGAAAAACCCGGGUGCAAUUUGACACAUGCAAGGGUUAAGGGCUACAUAUGUCGUGUGGUUGGAGAUCCCUAGUUGGGUAUUAAUCGAUUCGGAUCGCCGAACUUCUCGGAUAUCAAGACUGGAUCUUCGACCCUCAUCGUAGAUAACAAAUGAAACUAAAGCUGCUAAAAUGAAGAUAACAUAGGACAAGUGAAUGCUCUAGAUCAGGCAAAUCUAGACUUAGGAAAAGUACUUAAUUUGUGAAGUAAAAAUUUGGCAUAAGGAUCCACUACUAGUAAGCUUUUCCGCAAAACCGAUUCUUUGAAAUUUGGUAAGCUUUACCUUGAUUCCCAAUAAACCAACAUACCCUUGAGAGUCUUUUCUUUAGUCGGGUCAGUCUUGCUGAGUAAUUGCGUACUCAGGGUUUUAUUCCCAUUUGUUGCUGCAGGAGAGACUAUUAACACCUUUGAGUUUUACUAAAAUCACACUGGAGGCUUUUACCUUUGUUUAUGUUUAUUAUGUGUGUACUGUGGGAAGAUGGUUUCUUCCUAGGUGUUGUAAUAAGUUAGCACUUGAAUCUACCCCAGGCAUAUAAUAAUAAUACAUACUACGUGGUUUGUAUA
Zea mays is the source of this 2428-nucleotide long non-coding RNA. RefSeq lists it as uncharacterized. The record is from RefSeq and is a predicted model, not a curated record. NCBI's taxonomy places the organism in Eukaryota, Viridiplantae, Streptophyta, Magnoliopsida, Poales, Poaceae. The transcript has 4 exons.